ACACGACUACAUUAGAUACCCGGGUAGUCCUAGCCGUAAACGAUACUCGCUAGGUGUCGGCCACGGUGCGACCGUUGUCGGUGCCGUAGGGAAGCCGUGAAGCGAGCCACCUGGGAAGUACGGCCGCAAGGCUGAAACUUAAAGGAAUUGGCGGGGGAGCGCCACAACGGGUGGAGCCUGCGGUUUAAUUGGACUCAACGCCGGGAAGCUCACCGGAUAAGACAGCGGAAUGAUUGCCGGGCUGAAGACCCUGCAUGACCAGCUG
RNAcentral lists this ribosomal RNA (265 nucleotides) under uncultured archaeon. Its description in RNAcentral is "partial 16S ribosomal RNA". It matches the Rfam family "Archaeal small subunit ribosomal RNA", at positions 717 to 982 of the family's 1478-position model. The record is from RNAcentral.